This 433-nucleotide ribosomal RNA is filed under the name uncultured bacterium. Its description in RNAcentral is "partial 16S ribosomal RNA". It matches the Rfam family "Bacterial small subunit ribosomal RNA", at positions 29 to 507 of the family's 1533-position model. The record is from RNAcentral.
AAUGAACGCUGGCGGCAUGCCUAAUACAUGCAAGUCGAACGAACCCUUCGGGUCCAUUGGCGUACGGGUGCGUAACGCGACGGAACCUGCCCUCAGGGUCGGCAUAACUCUACGAAAGGGGUGCCUAUACCGGAUAAUGGCUAAGGACCAAAAAUUUAUCGCCCUUGGUUGUACACGCGUUGGAUUAGCUAGUUCGGAGGGUAAGAGACUGCUAAGGCGACGAUUAAUAGCUGGUUAGAGAGGAUGAUCAGCCACACUGGGACUGAGACGCGGCCCAGACUCCUCCGGGAGGCAGCAGUGGGUAAUAUUGGACAGCGGGCGAAGGCCUGAUCCAGCAAGGCCGCGAGAAUGAUGUAGGCCUUAGGGUUGUAAAGUUCUUGUAACUGGGAAGAUAAUGACGGUACCGGGAGAAUAAGCUCCGGCUAACUCCGUG